GCGGCCUCAAGUACCAGGCCCGAUGCAUCGCCGACGUUAAGGCCGACGUUGACCACACCAGCUUCCUCGCCGGAACUCUCAGCCUCAAAGAGGAAAACGAGGUGCAUCUGAUCCGACUUUCGCCGU
Zingiber officinale is the source of this 126-nucleotide long non-coding RNA. RefSeq lists it as uncharacterized. Lineage: Eukaryota; Viridiplantae; Streptophyta; Magnoliopsida; Zingiberales; Zingiberaceae. The transcript has 3 exons. The record is from RefSeq and is a predicted model, not a curated record.